Molecule: long non-coding RNA, 2215 nt
Organism: Harmonia axyridis
Lineage: Eukaryota; Metazoa; Arthropoda; Insecta; Coleoptera; Coccinellidae
Exons: 4
Source: RefSeq, a predicted model, not a curated record
UGACAGUUUAAUUGACUUGGAUAGGGCAGUAUAUAACUAUUCUUUUCAACGUCUCUAUCUUCUGGAGAUCGGUGUCGAAGAAAUAAAGGAUAGAAUAACUGGUAUAGAAAAUAAACUGCUGAAUAUGAUUCAUCAACAGUUUUUGAGAGGUUUGAAAGACAAAGACGUUGAUACAAUUACAAGGUGUUUUAGAAGGUAUAACAACUUGGAUAAACAGAAAGAAGCUGAGGAGUUCUAUCAAGUGAGAUUUGUUAGGUCAGUUUUGCAACCGAUGUAUUCAGAAAAUAAUAUAGAUAGAUUCAAUCAAGAUAUCAAUAAAAUUUAUAACGAAACAUUGAAUUUCAUGUAUUCUGACAUGAAAAUUUUGGAUGAUGUACUGGAAGAGAAUGCUGACUUCAAAGAUUCUUUCAACUUUAUUUUAAACAGUUUUUGGACAGAAGAAGAUCGUCAAUGCAGAAAAGGACUUCCACACAUUACAGCACCAGGAAAUCCUGAGUUAUUUCAAAAAUGAUUUGUAAGCACCUGGAAUCUUCUUGUAGAAAUUGCCAAGAAAUAUGGGAAUAAGGAGUGAAAACAAAUCCAUCAUUUCAAGACCAUAUAAAGAGAUUCCAGCAAAUUGCAAGCCAGUUUGAGACUGAUCUCACAAUUUAACCAAAUGACUCCUCCAUUUUCAAUGGUGAUAUUGACUUUGGAAUCAAACUGAAAAUAACACUUGAUUUGUAUGUUGCUUUGAAAAAAUGCUUCAAUGGCCAUGUUUUCAUUGAUCAAUUGGCAGAUCAUUUCCUCAAAUUCUCAAUGUUUCUUCUAUCUAGAUGCAUCAUGUGGUUCAAGAAAAUAUUGGAACAGCGCUAUACUAAUAUGGAUUGGGAGUAAGUACUUCAUUAUGAAUUCCCUGAUGGAUUUUGAAAAACUUCUCACUAUUCUCGGUGAAAAAGAUACCCUCAAUUCAGAUGGAAUUUCGUACAACAUAUUCCCUGAAAUGAUGAAGCCUGUGAUAGAGAAAGUAUUCGACAACAGCAAUAAAAUUAUAAGUGAAUUUUCAGUUGAUCUGGGUAAUUUUUUGACUUCAUUCAAUGUGAAUGAAACUUCUGAACAGCUGCAAAAUGUUACUGCUAAUCCAAGAUUAUUCAGAGGAACCAAUAGAAUACCCCCCCAAAGAAGCUAGUACUUACAUGAUUGAUGCUGUUAAACCAGUUCUACAGUUUGCAGAAAAAUACUCUGAGAUUUACAGUAAUAAUAAUAAUAAUAACUUUUUUUACCCAACAAGAAAGUUCCCAGUAACAGGGUAACAAAUUACUACAACUUAAAGAAAAUACAUGAUACAGAAAAAUGGGAACCAAAUCAUGUUAGCGUACUCCAACCUACUGAGAACAAGUGAAAAGUAGACAUUUCGAGAGCAGACAGAUCGUCUAGCUCACGGAAGCUCCUGAACAGGAAACCCAAAAACUUGCAGGAAGAUGAACGUAGAUCCUCAAAACUCAGCUCCCUGUCAAACCAAACUACCAGGUCACGAAAGCGAUCUCCAGCCGCAAUAAAAUCACCACCAAUGUGAUAAUCGAAAGCUAGUGGCUGCGUCUUCCUGGUGAAAGUAACUUUGAAACACUUCUUCAAAUUUAAAAUAAGUCCAUUCCGCAAGCACCAACCUUGAACCAACUCCAAACUUGACUGAAGAAGUAAUUGGUCAUUAAUUCCAUGUAUUCUCAUGAACAGCCUCAGAUCAUCAGCAUAGGCAAGAGCCUCACAAUUGAGAGAGCAUAAAAGGUCAUCAAUGAACAUAAUGAAAUAAGCGAACCUUUACUUGAUAAAGUGAUUCUAAAGAUCAGUCAGCAAUAUUCCCAUCUAGUGAAGGAUGUUUUGCAAUCAGUAUGUAAAACAGAAGAAUCCUUGCGUAGAUUGAAAAGCAGAAAUAUCUCAUCCUUGGAGGAGCUUUCAUCGAGCUUUCAUCGUCUACAUCAGAAACAAUGACUGAUGAGAUGAAGAUUCGAGAACAAAUUAAAUUAGACAUCGUAUACUUCGUUUCAAAGGUAUGUGAAUUCUUAAGAUAUAUUCUCCAUUUAAAUUUCUGAUAAUUUUUACAGCUACAACCAAUUACAUCAUCAAUUGAUGGCGAAGAAGCUUUAAAUCGGCUUGAAAAGAAUAUUUCUAUUUAAUAUAGAUUCGAUUGUUAAUAUAUUUCUUGUUGUGUUAUGUUGAUAAAAUAAAUAUUUUAAUACUG